UGGUGGAGUGAUUUGUCUGGUUAAUUCCGAUAACGAACGAGACUCUAGCCUAUUAAAUAGUUAACGCAUGCUGAGCAGUGCUUGUUAACUUCUUAGGGGGAUUUUACCACGUUAUAGUGGCAAGAAAUUGAGCAAUAACA
Molecule: ribosomal RNA, 140 nt
Filed under: uncultured eukaryote
Lineage: Eukaryota
Description: partial 18S ribosomal RNA
Rfam family: Eukaryotic small subunit ribosomal RNA
Source: RNAcentral